GAUGAACGCUGGCGGCGUGCCUAAUACAUGCAAGUCGAGCGAACAGAUGAGGAGCUUGCUCCUCUGACGUUAGCGGCGGACGGGUGAGUAACACGUGGAUAACCUACCUAUAAGACUGGGAUAACUUCGGGAAACCGGAGCUAAUACCGGAUAAUAUAUUGAACCGCAUGGUUCAUUAGUGAAAGACGGUUUUGCUGUCACUUAUAGAUGGAUCCGCGCCGCAUUAGCUAGUUGGUAAGGUAACGGCUUACCAAGGCAACGAUGCGUAGCCGACCUGAGAGGGUGAUCGGCCACACUGGAACUGAGACACGGUCCAGACUCCUACGGGAGGCAGCAGUAGGGAAUCUUCCGCAAAGGGCGAAAGCCUGACGGAGCAACGCCGCGUGAGUGAUGAAGGUCUUCGGAUCGUAAAACUCUGUUAUUAGGGAAGAACAAAUGUGUAAGUAACUAUGCACGUCUUGACGGUACCUAAUCAGAAAGCCACGGCUAACUACGUG
This 497-nucleotide ribosomal RNA is filed under the name uncultured bacterium. RNAcentral's name for it is "partial 16S ribosomal RNA". It matches the Rfam family "Bacterial small subunit ribosomal RNA", at positions 28 to 507 of the family's 1533-position model. The record is from RNAcentral.